GGACUACUAGGGUUUCUAAUCCUGUUUGCUACCCACGCUUUCGCACUUUAGUGUCAGUAUUGGUCCAGGAAGCCGCCUUCGCCACUGGUGUUCCUUCCGAUAUCUACGCAUUUCACCGCUACACCGGAAAUUCCACUUCCCUCUACCAUACUCUAGAUGCCCAGUAUCGAAUGCAAUUCCUAGGUUAAGCCCAGGGAUUUCACAUCCGACUUAAAUAUCCACCUACAUGCUCUUUACGCCCAGUAAUUCCGAUUAACGCUUGCACUCUCUGUAUUACCGCGGCUGCUGGCAC
This 292-nucleotide ribosomal RNA is filed under the name uncultured bacterium. RNAcentral describes it as "partial 16S ribosomal RNA". The record is from RNAcentral.